This 483-nucleotide ribosomal RNA is filed under the name uncultured bacterium. Its description in RNAcentral is "partial 16S ribosomal RNA". It matches the Rfam family "Bacterial small subunit ribosomal RNA", at positions 28 to 507 of the family's 1533-position model. The record is from RNAcentral.
GACGAACGCUGGCGGCGUGCUUAACACAUGCAAGUCGAACGCUGAAGCUCAGCUUUUGUUGGGUGGAUGAGUGGCGAACGGGUGAGUAACACGUGAGUAACCUGCCCCCUUCUUUGGGACAACGCCCGGAAACGGGUGCUAAUACUGGAUAUUCACUGGUCUUCGCAUGGGGGUUGGUGGAAAGGGUUUUUCUGGUGGGGGAUGGGCUCGCGGCCUAUCAGCUUGUUGGUGGGGUGAUGGCCUACCAAGGCUUUGACGGGUAGCCGGCCUGAGAGGGUGACCGGUCACAUUGGGACUGAGAUACGGCCCAGACUCCUACGGGAGGCAGCAGUGGGGAAUAUUGCACAAUGGGCGCAAGCCUGAUGCAGCGACGCCGCGUGAGGGAUGGAGGCCUUCGGGUUGUGAACCUCUUUCGCUCAUGGUCAAGCCGCAACAAUGGUUGUGGUGAGGGUAGUGGGUAAAGAAGCGCCGGCUAACUACGUG